ACAAUGGGCGGAAGCCUGAUCCAGCCAUGCCGCGUGUGUGAAGAAGGCCUUUUGGUUGUAAAGCACUUUAAGCGAGGAGGAGGCUCCUUUAGUUAAUACCUAAAGUGAGUGGACGUUACUCGCAAAAUAAGCACCGGCUAACUCUGUGCCAGCAGCCGCGGUAAUACAAAGGGUGCGAGCGUUAAUCGGAUUUACUGGGCGUAAAGCGUGCGUAGGCGGCUUUUUAAGUCGGAUGUGAAAUCCCUGAGCUUAACUUAGGAAUUGCAUUCAAUACUGGAAAGCUAGAGUAUGGGAGAGGAUGGUAGAAUUCCAGGUGUAGCGGUGAAAUGCGUAAAGAUCUGGAGGAAUACCGAUGGCGAAGGCAGCCAUCUGGCCUAAUACUGACGCUGAGGUACGAAAGCAUGGGGAGCAAACAGGAUUAGAUACCCUGGUAGUCCAUGCCGUAAACGAUGUCUACUAGCCGUUGGGGCCUUUGAGGCUUUAGUGGCGCAGCUAACGCGAUAAGUAGACCGCCUGGGGAGUACGGUCGCAAGACUAAA
Molecule: ribosomal RNA, 539 nt
Filed under: uncultured Acinetobacter sp.
Lineage: Bacteria; Pseudomonadati; Pseudomonadota; Gammaproteobacteria; Moraxellales; Moraxellaceae
Description: bacterial SSU rRNA
Rfam family: Bacterial small subunit ribosomal RNA
Source: RNAcentral